Molecule: microRNA precursor, 80 nt
Filed under: Nannospalax galili (Upper Galilee mountains blind mole rat)
Lineage: Eukaryota; Metazoa; Chordata; Mammalia; Rodentia; Spalacidae
Description: miRNA (ENSNGAG00000007763.1)
Source: RNAcentral
UGCUCCAGCAGCUGGGGGGUGGUGGGGUGGGCAACAGCACUGGUCUGGCCUCUUUCUGGACAGCCACUGUGUCCUUCCCU